This 284-nucleotide unclassified non-coding RNA is filed under the name Hevea brasiliensis (rubber tree). The record is from RNAcentral. Lineage: Eukaryota; Viridiplantae; Streptophyta; Magnoliopsida; Malpighiales; Euphorbiaceae.
GGAGAUGGCGUCCUUAGCUUCCACGAGUUUGCUGUCAUGAUGCGCUGAUUCCUGACGCUCCACAUAUAUGGACUCUGCUUCUUCCUUUUUAUUUAUUUAUUUGUUUAUUUAUUUAUUUUUCUGUAUAGUUAAUAAUGUUUCCUUCUAAAUUCAUUAAUCCAAAGUUUCAAUGGAAUCAUCUUCUCCCGACUGUAUCACCUAAGCAACAAGAAAAGGACUGAAAUACAUAAACAUCUGUUCUCUCAGGGCAAAAAAAAAAAGGAAGAAGCAGAGUCCAUAUAUGU